RNAcentral lists this long non-coding RNA (332 nucleotides) under Lathyrus oleraceus (garden pea). RNAcentral describes it as "Pisum sativum (pea) long non-coding RNA (PSAT_LNC014317)". Lineage: Eukaryota; Viridiplantae; Streptophyta; Magnoliopsida; Fabales; Fabaceae. The record is from RNAcentral.
UUCUGAAGUGUAUGCGACAGGGUUUGAGGGGUUAAUUUCACUCUUUUGACUCUUUUUCUACUCAAAUUUUUCGAGCAUUUUAUAGGUGUUAGAGUCUUAAGUCUCGGCAAGUGCAUUUUUCUCUUUUGUUUUUCUCUUUUUUUUUGCUUUUAAGGAACAUACAUACUAUUUUUCUUUUUGUAUGAUCUCUUAUUAUGCACUUGCCUUCUCUUUCAAGAUUUCCACCCCAAACUUAGUUUUAUAGCACAUCUUGCAAUUCACACAAUCAUACCGAGUAAUGGAAAAAAAUUGAAUGAUUAAAAGUUAACAGGGGGUUUAUGAUGAAUAAAUGC